RNAcentral lists this ribosomal RNA (544 nucleotides) under Mimachlamys nobilis (noble scallop). RNAcentral describes it as "partial 16S ribosomal RNA". It matches the Rfam family "Bacterial large subunit ribosomal RNA", at positions 1819 to 2597 of the family's 2925-position model. The record is from RNAcentral. Lineage: Eukaryota; Metazoa; Mollusca; Bivalvia; Pectinida; Pectinidae.
GUCUUUUUGUGUACCAUAAAAAGUCGUGCCUUCCCAGUGGGUUUUAACCUAAACGGAUGCGGUAAAUCGUGCUAAGGUAGCUAAAUUAUGGCCCAUUAAUUGUGGGUCUUGCGAACGGCUUGACGAGUUCCCUACUGUCUCAAAGUUGUUUUGGUGAACUUGAAUUGGAUGUGUAAAUGCUUCCAUGAGUGAGAAAGACGAGAAGACCCCGUGAAGUUAGAAAUUUUUUAUCUAGUAUGAAUUUUCAGUUUUUUUUGAGUUUGUAGAUGUAAUUUGAGAUCUUGAGAGUUGAAAAAUAUGGUUCUAUUGUUUUGGCUGGGGCAGCAAGAAGGCAAAACUAGACCUUCUUUAUUAAAAAACGGGUGCGUUACGACCCAUAGUUUUGAAAGGAAUGAUUAUCAGAAGAAGUUACUCCGGGGAUAACAGCGUUAUCCGUCCUGAUAGUCCUUAUAGAUGGGCGGGUUUGCGACCUCGAUGUUGGCUCUGGUUAUCCUGAGGCUUGCAGGAGGUCUCGAGGGUUGGUUUGUUCGCCCAUUAAAAUCCG